UACGGGGGGGGCAAGCGUUGUUCGGAAUUACUGGGCGUAAAGGGCUCGUAGGUGGCCAACUAAGUCAGACGUGAAAUCCCUCAGCUUAACUGGGGAACUGCGUCUGAUACUGGAUGGCUUGAGUUUGGGAGAGGGAUGCGGAAUUCCAGGUGUAGCGGUGAAAUGCGUAGAUAUCUGGAGGAACACCGGUGGCGAAGGCGGCAUCCUGGACCAAUACUGACACUGAGGAGCGAAGGCCAGGGGAGCAAACGGG
This 253-nucleotide ribosomal RNA is filed under the name uncultured bacterium. Its description in RNAcentral is "partial 16S ribosomal RNA". It matches the Rfam family "Bacterial small subunit ribosomal RNA", at positions 524 to 776 of the family's 1533-position model. The record is from RNAcentral.